RNAcentral lists this ribosomal RNA (484 nucleotides) under uncultured bacterium. RNAcentral describes it as "partial 16S ribosomal RNA". It matches the Rfam family "Bacterial small subunit ribosomal RNA", at positions 30 to 507 of the family's 1533-position model. The record is from RNAcentral.
AUUGAACGCUGGCGGCAGGCCUAACACAUGCAAGUCGAGCGGAUGAAGGUAGCUUGCUCCUGGAUUCGGCGGCGGACGGGUGAGUAAUGCCUCGGAAUCUGCCUGGUAGUGGGGGAUAACGUCCGGAAACGGGCGCUAAUACCGCAUCCGUCCUGAGGGAGAAAGUGGGGGAUCUUCGGACCUCACGCUAUCAGAUGAGCCUAGGUCGGCUUAGCUAGGUGGUGGGGUAAAGGCCUACCAAGGCGACGAUCUGUAACUGGUCUGAGAGGAUGAUCAGUGAUACUGGGAGUGAGACACCGUCCAGACUCCUACGGGAGGACGCAGUGGGGUAUAUUGGAAGGUGGGCGAAGGGAUGAUUCAGCAAUGGCGGGUGGGUUAACGAGGUCUUCGGGUGGUAAAGCAGAAUACGUUGGGGGGGAGGGCAGCUAGUCAAUAACUUGAUGUUUUGACGUUACCAACAGAAUAAGCACCGGCUAACUUCGUG